Molecule: ribosomal RNA, 872 nt
Filed under: uncultured bacterium
Lineage: Bacteria
Description: bacterial SSU rRNA
Rfam family: Bacterial small subunit ribosomal RNA
Source: RNAcentral
AGAGUUUGAUCAUGGCUCAGGAUGAACGCUGGCGGCGUGCCUAAUACAUGCAAGUCGAACGCUUUGUCUUUAACUGAUAUGAAGAGCUUGCUCUGAUUUGAUUUUAUCUGACAAAGAGUGGCGCACGGGUGAGUAACACGUGGGUAACCUACCUCUUAGCAGGGGAUAACAUUUGGAAACAAGUGCUAAUACCGUAUAAUACCAACAACCGCAUGGUUGUUGGUUGAAAGAUGGUUCUGCUAUCACUAAGAGAUGGACCCGCGGUGCAUUAGCUAGUUGGUAAGGUAACGGCUUACCAAGGCAAUGAUGCAUAGCCGAGUUGAGAGACUGAUCGGCCACAAUGGGACUGAGACACGGCCCAUACUCCUACGGGAGGCAGCAGUAGGGAAUCUUCCACAAUGGGCGCAAGCCUGAUGGAGCAACGCCGCGUGUGUGAUGAAGGGUUUCGGCUCGUAAAACACUGUUAUAAGAGAAGAACGGCACUGAGAGUAACUGUUCAGUGUGUGACGGUAUCUUACCAGAAAGGAACGGCUAAAUACGUGCCAGCAGCCGCGGUAAUACGUAUGUUCCAAGCGUUAUCCGGAUUUAUUGGGCGUAAAGCGAGCGCAGACGGUUAUUUAAGUCUGAAGUGAAAGCCCUCAGCUCAACUGAGGAAUGGCUUUGGAAACUGGAUGACUUGAGUGCAGUAGAGGAAAGUGGAACUCCAUGUGUAGCGGUGAAAUGCGUAGAUAUAUGGAAGAACACCAGUGGCGAAGGCGGCUUUCUGGACUGUAACUGACGUUGAGGCUCGAAAGUGUGGGUAGCAAACAGGAUUAGAUACCCUGGUAGUCCACACCGUAAACGAUGAGUGCUAGAUGUUCGAGGGUUUCCGC